RNAcentral lists this ribosomal RNA (493 nucleotides) under uncultured bacterium. RNAcentral describes it as "bacterial SSU rRNA". It matches the Rfam family "Bacterial small subunit ribosomal RNA", at positions 61 to 524 of the family's 1533-position model. The record is from RNAcentral.
GUCGAGCGCGGGAAGCUAACUGAAUCCUUCGGGAGGACGUUAGUGGAACNANNGGCGGACGGGUGAGUAACACGUGGGUAACCUGCCUGUAAGACUGGGAUAACUCCGGGAAACCGGGGCUAAUACCGGAUAACACCUCGGAUCGCAUGAUCCGAAGUUGAAAGAUGGUUCUGCUAUCACUUACAGAUGGACCCGCGGCGCAUUAGCUAGUUGGUGAGGUAGUGGCUCACCAAGGCAACGAUGCGUAGCCGACCUGAGAGGGUGAUCGGCCACACUGGGACUGAGACACGGCCCAGACUCCUACGGGAGGCAGCAGUAGGGAAUCUUCCGCAAUGGACGAAAGUCUGACGGAGCAACGCCGCGUGAACGAUGAAGGCCUUCGGGUCGUAAAGUUCUGUUGUUAGGGAAGAACAAGUACCAGAGUAACUGCUGGUACCUUGACGGUACCUAACCAGAAAGCCACGGCUAACUACGUGCCAGCAGCCGCGGUAAU